UUAGCCCAUACGUGCUGCCACAGUCAACUGCUCCACCCAUUGGGAAUCUAAAUGAGCCUCUCGGUAACCUGAACAAGGUAGCCCUGGUGCACUGCUGCGGCCAAUUGCUUCAUCUGUUGGGAGCUGAGCAAACAGCUCAGGGAGCAUGAGACUCCGGACUAGCUCACCAAAUAUUGUAACCAAACUCAGGUUCGGGACACUUGACACCUGAACAACCAAUGCUCAAGAGACAAGUGUUGGUAAGAAGGAAAGUUAGCUUUAUUAGGGAAGCAGGCAAGUUGGGAAAUUAGUGACCUUGUUUCAAGACUACCUCUCUGAAUUGUAGCUCUGGACCAAGAGUUUUUACGGGAAAUCAGGAUAAGUGGAUUCAAAAUGGAGUCAGUGCUGUUACAAUAAGAUCUUCUACUCAAUAAAGAAGCAAAAGUACUCACAGCAGAGUGGGAUUGCUGUGAGAAGGAGCCAUGUAAGUAACAACUGGCUGGCAGUGGAUAGAGGAAGAAAAAACAUCAUCAAGUUGUUGUGAUAGGAGUGGAUGAAUAGUGACCAACAUGACACCUGGAAAUCAGUAUCUAUGGAAUCCUGUAGAAGAUACCUGAAAUAUGCUUACAUUCACAAACCAGUACAACCUAAACUUGCUGGUCAGUAUCAUGUGGUCAAAGGAUCUGUCACUGGCAAUAUGCGGUACAUGAUCAAAGUUUACUUCUGCUGCAAAGAAUUGAAGAACGGUACUGUAAUUUUAAUUGAUGUAUGGCAUGUAAAACAUUGCUUUGCUUUCUGCUACAUGUGUGUUAUAACCAAAAGGUUAUAAUUUUAUUGUCAAAAUUAAAUGUAAUUCAGACUUAUGUACAGCAUGAACCAUAGAAUGAGUGAAUAUUUCUGGAAGCUUAUUUAAAGCCUCUAAUUAAUGUAAUACUUAUGAAGAGUUACUGGCUAGAAAAAGACAUUUGGCUUUUAAAAUACCACAUGCCCUAUUAUAAUCUUACAAAUAUUCAAAUGCCUAUGAAUAAAAACAAAAAAAAUUGAGCUAGAAAUACACAAUUAAAAGGCCUUAGAAGGAACACAGUUAUUAAUAAAAAUAUUACAGCAAUAACUCCUGAACCCCAUUUUAUGUUUCAAGUCCAGAUGGUCAUUGAGGUGUGAAGUAUCUUUUUUUGAAUAAAAUUUUGAGGAAAUUUUAAGACACAUUAAAAACACAACCAAGACAUAUGUGUCAAAGAGAUACUGACAGAGCUUAGAAAGUGUCUCCAGAAGAAAAGAGUUAUCCAGAGACCUAUAAUCCAUUCCGAUCAAAUCUCCUGAAAGAUAUGCUAGUAAAAGAGAUUUAAUAAAUAUACUAUUUACUAAUAGAAUGUAGAUUAUUUGACUAGAAGUUCUUAUGACAAACUUGUAAUCCAUAGAUUUUGGAGACAAGGGAAUAUAGCUUCCUGUAACAUGUCAUGAAAGCUUUGGUAUGUAAAAUAAGCUUUUUUCUUGAUGAAAAUGGCUUUCUUUUAUGUAAACAAUAAUAACAUCUAGCACUUAGGAAACUCAUAUAUCAUAUACAGCUGGACAUCACUGUUUCCUAAUGAGGCUGGAAGGAAAAUAGGAAAAAAUAUCUGUAGCUCUAGACUUGCCAUUUCACCUGUGCUUCACAACUACUUCUACUUUGAAAGUAAUAUUAAAGUUUGAUAUUGGGUAAGAUCUGAGAUUCCUGUAUCUGACUUGAUGAUAUGAUAUUUUCUGUUAUCUCAAUAUACAUACAUCUCAAUGUAUAAUUUUUUGAAAGGCAUACACGUUACCUGAAUGAUACAAGUUUCCAUUGGAGUUUUGUUUCAUUGUGUUUUGUUUUUUAUCAAGGGAAAAUAAAGAGGGAGAAAUAAACUGUCAUUACUCAAGGAGAGCAUGCACAAUACAACUUUCCAGCUCUAAUUCCAAAGUUUGAUUUCUCUUAUUUGAAGCUCGUGAUAUUUUGUUUGCUCAAAAAUGGGAAGGAUGGGGUGGUUAACAGACUUCUUGUUGGAAUUAUUUAACAGACUUAUGUAAUUUCCUGAGUCUGUUUUCUUUUCCAUGUUUCAAUUGUGUGAUGGGAAAGUGAGUCAUUUUUCUAAGGACUAAAAUACAAUAUAAGAAUAAACUUUAUAAACCCAAAGAGUUUGAAGACAAGAAUAUCUGACCAAAAAUAGACACAUUUCCCCUUCAUUGUUGUCAUCUGCAAACACCCAAGACAUUUUUCUACUUAUGAGGUUCUUGAGUCUUGGUUCACACUAUUUCUUUCUAUCCCUUUUCCUCCAUGAGAUCCAUAUCCAUAUGGAAAAUUUGCCCAUAAUUCUGGUCUCCAAAUUUGUGUAGCCCAUCAACAAAAUUAUACUUUAUUUUCCACCUUUAUCCCCCAAUCUCAUAGACAAACUUUUCAACCUGUCAGUAUAAUAAAUAGCAUAAUUUCUGAAAUAUCUAAUUCAAGUAUCCUGUGAUUUGAAACACCCUCCUAUAUUUCUUGUUCACUUAAGUGGUAACACUUUCAAAAUCUCUAUCAUUCCAAGACACUAAAAGUUUUAAAAGAAAAUGGUGCUUUCAUAGAUUUGGUGCUAAAACUCACUUUGUGGUAAAACCUGACAUGAUUGACUUCAUUCAUCACGUUUUUAUGGUCAUUAUUUUUCUUAUUUGAUGUGACUAUGCAUUUGUUCAGAGCAGAAAAAGAAUCAUAUUUAAUUAGCAGGUUCUUCUCCAAUCCUUCUUGGAGAUGUUCCAUAAAAAACUUAAUUAUUUAAGUCUAAAUCAUGCUGAAUUAUGAAACAAAUUUGGUUCCAAGGAUUUCAGACAAGUGAUUGUAUACCAGGAAUACAAUAUUUAUUUGAACUCGCCAAGACUUAAAAUCCUGCGUUCAGCUACUUUUUAUCUUAUUAUCACCAUACAUCAUCUUUCAUGCCUCCUGUUUAGAAUAACAAGUCCAUCAUUACAAGAAAAAGUUGCAAACACAAGGAAUGUUUUCUUCUCUUAUUAACAAAACAAAACAGAUAACUUGUCUGUGUUUUUCCUGGGUGCAUCUCUGCAGUUGAAAUAUCAUGACCACCAGUCCUCUUUAAAUUCAUCUCAAGAGAGGAAACCACAGACACUCAGCUUGCCUUCUAGCAAUGGUAAAUUCCUUAAGCUAAGUGUUUCCUAAUUGCUUUAUUCUCCUUUGAACUCACUCAGUUUCUCUCCUGUUGCUCAUGAUGGAUAAUCAGAUGUGCUUACCUCCACCGAUUUAUUAUCCAGCCAAUUGAAAGGCUCAAAUAGAAAAUGUCAUGCUUCUCCCCGACCAAACCAUGAAUUUUGUCUUCAGUUCCUCACUCUCAUUCAAUUUCAAUUUUUUAACAAUGCAUAAUAACCUGAAAUUCUCCUACUUACUUGUUAAUUUGACUGUUGUCUGUCUUCAUUACAGCUGGAUUAGAAACUACAAUAAAGAAAAAAAAAAAAAAAGUUUCAGCCUUAUUCCUUCUGAAGUUUCCAGGUCUAGAAUAGUUCUUGUAACAGAGUAGGUGCUUAAUUUAAUAAUAUAAUUUAACCUUAAAAUCCUGUUUUAUUACAAUCUACUUAAAGUGGACUCCUAGUUGUGGGUGAAUGAGUCUAAUUUAAAAUAAAGAGAUAAAGUUUCUUUUUUUUUUUCUGUGCCAACAAUCUUAAAAUACAAAUUUAAAACUGUGCCUUCAGUUUUGCUUCUCCUUAAAUACAAAAUUGGCGCUUGAUAAAAUAAGUUAUAUUUACUUUUCUUGGAAGCAUUUCCGUUUGAAUUAUGUUGAAUUACCUGAAUCAACAGAGCAUUUUCAAGAUAUAAAAAUUUUAAAAAAUUAGAUGUAUUUCUCAUUGCCAGAUUAAAAUUCUCUUUAUUACUUUAACACUUUAUGAGCUUGUCAGGUAUAGAAUUUGGUUCUAUCUGAUCUGAAAGUUAAUUACUGUUUAUGUGAGAAAGUUGAUUCACCUAAUAUUUCUUUGCACAAAUUUGCUAGUUUUAGAUUCGAGACUUCAAGUGUAAAAAUAAAGUCGUUAAGUACAUUAAGGACAAUAUGUUUUUCAAGGGUCCUUCCAGAUGCUUGUUUUUGUGAUUAUAUUCGUUAAAGAAGAAAGGAAAGAAACAAGAGAAGAAGAAAAAAAUGAGAAGAAAGAGGAGAAAGAAAAGAAGAGUGAGCAGGAGGAAAGACGAAGUAGGUGCUAGAGAAACUAAAGGUGCAUAGUCUCCAGCAUUAGCUUGUGUACUGUAACACCACAAUCAUGAAGUUUUAUCUCAUAGCCUCUUUAUAUACUGCUGUUGGAAUAUAUGAGCCUUUAAACACAUUUUAGAAGGUUUUGUUAGCUCCCUAGAUGCUGAAUUAAGGGCCGGCACAAUUUUGCAUUGCAUAAAACUGCCACCCAGGGCUCCAGAUCCUUCUUUUAGUGUCCUUUUCCUCAGUCAGUGUCUCACAUUUCCUGCUUAUUCCCUCUCUCCCAGUACUUGACUGUGCUUAUUACUGAUUCACACUUUAGAUUCAAAGUGGUUUUUUUUCCCAUUCUCUUAACAAAACUGUGCUUUUCUCAAUAACUGUAAGCCUUAUACUAAGAUAAAGCCUCGGAGUAAAGUUGUUCUAAUUUCUUUGACCAAGCCUGGGGAAAUGGAAGGAGAAAAUAGAAAAUUCAAAAGUUGCUCCCCCCCACCGCCCGAUAUAACCAGUUUCUUGACCAAAAAAAUAGCAAGGUUGGGAAUUCAUAUUUUUGCAUAAGAAGCUAUCAUGCAAUCAGGGAUCAUAUAGAAAGUAAGCCGUUACAACACAGAAUCGUAUCUAUUUCUUGGAACAAGAAAUAGAAGAAACUGUAAAAGGGCACUGCAGAUGGUCCCUUGUCAAUUUCUAGCUACCAACAACCACGGCAGCAAUUAUAACAUUUAAAAUAGUGAUUCCUUAUAAUUUACUCUAUCAUAGUAGUCUCCCCUGGAAGCAC
RNAcentral lists this long non-coding RNA (4929 nucleotides) under Homo sapiens (human). Its description in RNAcentral is "HSALNT0204861". Lineage: Eukaryota; Metazoa; Chordata; Mammalia; Primates; Hominidae. The record is from RNAcentral.